RNAcentral lists this ribosomal RNA (460 nucleotides) under uncultured bacterium. RNAcentral describes it as "partial 16S ribosomal RNA". It matches the Rfam family "Bacterial small subunit ribosomal RNA", at positions 338 to 795 of the family's 1533-position model. The record is from RNAcentral.
CCUACGGGUGGCAGCAGUGAGGAAUAUUGGUCAAUGGACGAGAGUCUGAAGCAGCCAAGUAGCGUGAAUGAUGACUGCCCUAUGGGUUGUAAACUUCUUUUAUAUGGGGAUAAAAUGUUCCACGUGUGGGAUUUUGUAUGUACCAUAUGAAUAAGGAUCGGCUAACUCCGUGCCAGCAGCCGCGGUAAUAUGGAGGAUCCGAGCGUUAUCCGGAUUUAUUUGGUUUAAAGGGAGCGUAGGUGGAUUGUUAAGUCAGUUGUGAAAGUUUGCGGCUCAACCGUAAAAUUGCAGUUGAAACUGGCAGUCUAGAGUACAGUAGAGGUGGGCAGAAUUCGUGGUGUAGCGGUGAAAUGCGUAGAUAUCACGAAGAACUCCGAUUGCGAAGGCAGCUCACUGGACUGCAACUGACACUGAGGCUCGAAAGUGUGGGUAUCAAACAGGAUUAGAUACCCCAGUAGUC